AAAAUCAGUGGUUACAAAGAUAGUAACACAAAAGGGGAAUCAAGCACAUUUAUUUUGGAGUGGCCACUAAUAUUUGCAAACAUUUUCAAUUUCACUACAGCUACUGAGGCCAAAAUCCUACAGCUGCUGGAAACACUUUUGCUACAAGUGGACAGAAACUUAAAGAUGCUUGCCAUGCUUGUUUCCAACAAGCAAGCUACUAAAGAAAAGGGAGAAUUUCCAGAGCACAUUGACUUACCCCUCCCCAACUACGAUGCUGCAAAGCACUUGAAUCAACAGCUUGCCGAUAAUGUGAAUCUCAGGAAGUCAUUGGUACGUGUAUUGGUUGAUGUUGCAAAAAUUUAACCUUAUUACAUGUUCCAUGGGAAAUAAAACCUUUCAUGUCAGACAAGUCAUGAAAUUGAUGCAAGUGUUAUUUGUCAGUGAUGGAACACAGAAACCAACUGUCACGACCAUGUAAAGCUAAUUUCAGUUUGAGUUUAUUUUGUGUUAUAUUCAGAUCCUUACAAUGGACUGACAAAUUUUGCUUGUGGUAAAUCUCUAUAUAUGCAGAUGUUGCAGGCAAAGAUUUCCCCCACUUAGUUUAUGCAUUAGCCUUAGCUAUAAGUAGUGUUCCCUGAUAUAAACAUUGCCCAGGUACCUAUGAGUUGGCAGCUGAGCCCCAGGGCAUUGCAGAGCCACCGGUUGAAACAAAGAGGGUCUUAUUAGUUUUCCCACAGCCUUUGUGAGAAAUUCCUCAUUCAGCAGACGGGCAUGGAUCGGUGCAGACUGCACUGACUUUCUCUCUCCACACUUAUGUACUAGCCCAGAAAGUUUGUCUGCCCUGCUAUAUUGAUUCACCGCCUAUCACUCAUCGGUGGAGCGAGCCUUGGAAAGGUGGUUCGAGGUAUAAUGAUUGACUUAAUCUCCACCUCCUUGGCCAAGAGUUGCAACUGGUUGGGACAGAGAGGACCCAAGAAGCUUUCAGUGCCCUGAAAAAUAUUGUCAAUGUGAUAAUCAAGUCUGUCCGCCAAAAUGCUGGCUUUGAAGGUACCAGUCAAGAGGCUAUUCAAGAAGCCGUUGCGAAUCACCUUCGCUACAGCUUUGACUUGGAUGGCCAGGGUUCCUUGCGCAAAUCAAGGAGCAAACCGUCGGCCAGAUCUGCAGAGGCUGAAGCAAGACCUACAGAGGCUGCAGAAGAGUCCGAUAUUGAGAUGGAAGAGGUGUGAAGACCAUCUAAAUGGGGGGUAUAUAUAGGGUACAUUGUGAUUUUGGGGUAAUGAAUCACUCUGGUCUCGACAAAUUUCAGGAACCUUGUAUUAUAAGGAAUGAAAACAAUGAUAGUUGAAUGGGAAGUACACAUUUCAUCAAUAGAUAAGCAGAUUCUUUUAUUUACAGUGUUAUAUUACUAGGGUUGAACUAUAUUUAACCAUUUUCAGUGUACACUCUACUUGCAUUUUUUCAUUGUGUUAAUACAUUGUUUCAUGCAUUUUCUUAUUGUUACAACAAAUGAUUGUAACUGCUUUUCCCUAAGUUUCUUGCCUUAACUAGGAAAAGAAUUGACUUACAUUAAUUGCCAAGAUUGCUUCAGGUUUUUGCACCAGAGCCAGCUGCUGUUGUAAAUAUGUAUAUGUAUGUGUAAUCCAUUAUUAUUGAAAUGUCAAUGGUAGUUGUGAGUACAGGCAUUCACUGUACCUUCUAUUCUCAGGGUUAAGAAAGAAUGCAUCACUUUUUAAGUUGAAAUAUGUACAAUGUAGAUGUUCUGAAUAAAGAACGAAAAUAUUGAAUCAAACGUAUAUGUACAAUGUAUGUACUAUUCUGGCAGCAUGUUUAUUGUGACAUGAGGUCUCAUUCUCUUUAGUCUUGAAGCACUCCAAUAGUUUAUAAUCUACCGAUAUCUCCCCCCCCACAAAACGUUACAAUAAUUCCUUUGAUAUAAAUUGUAUAAUGUAAGACACAAUAGGGACAGUGGAUGGGGGGUAUGUUUAUACCCAUUGUCACUUAUGCAUGUUUUGUAUGUUUGUGUGUACAUGUGCAAUGUACAUGCAUUUGCUGUGUUACUAGCUGGUACCUGUAUAUGCACAGGUCUUGCAUCAGAUAUUUACAAACACUUGUAAUUCGCAUUUUUAGACUUUUUUUAUUUUACUACUCGAGUAUAUUCUUGGAAUAAACUGAAUUUGCUAGAAUUCGUGA
This is a long non-coding RNA of Acanthaster planci (crown-of-thorns starfish), 2172 nucleotides long. The record is from RefSeq and is a predicted model, not a curated record. Lineage: Eukaryota; Metazoa; Echinodermata; Asteroidea; Valvatida; Acanthasteridae.